GUGCCUCCCGAGGCUCGGAAAUGCGAAGACCGUACACUAAGUAGGCUGGGACGGAAGCUUACUUCCCGUGUCAGAACGGAAGCAAGAAGGAAGGACGGUGUCGUCUUGUCCCGCCUUGGCUGGAAGUGUGUUUCUCAGGCAACUCAAGUUCUCUGCUGCUCAGUCCAUGUCGGCGAGUAAGUGCUGAAGUACCGCGAGUGUUGAUUUUGGAGUACGAAUGGAUUCAGCAGAUAGGCACAUUCACAGGACAUAUCAGCUAUGAGACAAAAGAGAAAAGUGGGUGAAUAAGCAAUUGGAUACAUGCAUCUGGGACUCAGAGAAGAGGUCUGGAGACAAGAUGUGGAGAAGAGGAUGCAGGACUAUACCUUAGAAAAGCCAGCUCUGGAAAACCAGACUAAGAAUGAGCAACCAGAGAACUCAGGAGGAAAAUGAGGGGGAGGCAUUAUUGAAGCCAAGGGAAGAUGGAGAUUUCAAGAGGGAGAAUUGGCUAACCGGUUCCUGCUGCUGAGAUAACAAGACAAAACAUAAAGUGUCCACUGGGCCCCGCCAGAAUCACAUGAAAUGGGAGAGAGACAGUACUGCAAAGACUUUGUGCCAUUACCAGAUGAAGGAGGAACAAGAAUGCUGGAAUCCUAAAAGCAAUGGUGUCCACUAUUCAUCAUGCGUUGGCAAUUCAGGGAAAAGAAGAGAAAAAGACCAAAGAGUAAAGCACAAAUUUCAAAGUCAAGCUUACUAGAUAAAGACAGAAGACUUGGAAUUUGAGAGAGAGAAAUCUGAACUUCAUUUGACUGAGGUGUCACCAUGCAAGGAGAUGGUCACUUGUAUCGAGGCGUCAGGUUGCCGUCUGAAAUGGAGAAGAGCACAUAGCAGUGUAAGUAGUUUGAAAUGAGGAGGAAUCAAUGACCCACCAGCCCAGCCCUGAGGAAGGGGAAGUCUCUGGUUCUUUGUAGUUGCCACACCUAGUGCUCGGCACUGACACGGUGAUCUUUGGAAUACCCCGUGCCUUCCUCCCUUCAGCCCAGCAGGGACAUUUGGACCACCCAGCCGGGUCUGUUGGAAGACCUGCUUCAUACAACAUACUUUGCUGGGUACUGUCAGGAGGGUGGGGAAGCAUAAGAUUUGAGCUUGUAAGCUGCUUGGAGAGUGACUACAUGUAUAUUUGGGGAAAAAAGACGACGACAGUCCAACCCCAAAGCAGUGUCCCGUGCUGAGAGGAUGAGUCAUACAGACGAGAUCCUGCAGAUAGGGAGCAGUUAUACAAGGAGCAAGGACUUUUUUCCAUGAAGGACAACCAGCUUUGUAGAGCCCUUAUUGAAGCCUUGCCCAAGGAUGCGGUCUUUUGGAGAGACAACUGGUGAAUAUCUUCUGGGCAGACAGAACCACCAAUGGGCAAUGGAAACCUUCAUCUAAAAGCAUAUGAAGAUUCUAGGAAGCAAGGCUGAAGUAGAAAGAGGCAAGACUGUGGUUCCAUGGACAAACGGGGGCGACCACUAGGGAUCUGGGUUUUCAAGAAGUGCAACACUCAGCAGGUAGAUGGGAGUCCCUAAGUCAGGACAUUAGGACAGUGCUGCCAAAAAGACAGUAGUGGUAGGAGGUCCUGUGACCUACAAAUUCAGUGCUCUGUUGCUCCUGUUAGGGAAAUAGGGAGCCCAGGAACAGAUCCAGAUCUCCAAGUCAGUAUAGUCAGGUGGCCCAGCUCUCCUAGGAAUGGAGAGUCAUGGAAAAAAUGAAUAUCACUUAAGUGAACAAAAACAAGACAAGAAUGUCCCCCCUCAUUACUCCCAUUUGACAUCAUGCUGGAAGUCCUAGCUAAUGCAAUAAGACAGGAAAAGGAAAUAAAGUAUACAGUUUGAGAAGGAAGAAAUAAACUGUUUGCAGAUGAUAUGAUUGUCAAAAAUCCCAAUGAAUUGACUAAAUGAAUAAAUAAUAAAAAUCCUGGAACUAACAGCAAUUAUAGCAAACUUGCCAGAUACAGGGUUAAUAUACAUAAGUUAAUUAUUUUCCUGUAUACCAUCGAUGAGGAAUUAGAACUUGAAGUCAAAAACGCAAUAACAUUUACAAAGUGGACCAUGCAGCUGAACCUGCAACUCCCAUCUUGAGCCUUUGUAUUUGCUGUUCCCUUUACCUAGAAGGCCUAUCUCCCAGAUGUCCAAAUGACUAACUCCUUCAUAUACUUCAAAUCUUCUCUCAGAAAGUUAUCUUCCUGGAGGAUUCUGGGAAGAUGGCUAAGUAGGAAGCAUCAGGAAUCGGUUUCCCCACCUGGACAACAAUUGCACAGCAGAAUCCGUCUGAUGUAUUUGGGAACUCUGGAGUCUACUGAAGGCUUGCAACUUGCAGGGGAAGUAUUAGAUAGCAAAUUGCAGUUAAUUUGGUCAAUUUCAAUUCUUGUACAGUAGCAGUUACCAUCCCUCAUCCCAAGACUAGUGGCAGGCACCUGUGCAUGGGUUUCUGGAGCAGCUGGCAUGCAGGUUGUGGGAGCCAGGGUGAAUAUCCACCAAAUAUCAAGGAUCUGUCCCCUGAUUGCCAAUUGCUGCUUCUGAUCACAGAGGUGCAAAAACGAGGGUAGCCAUUGUUGUUGUACUUUCCCCCCAAUGUGGCAAGCCCUUCCCCUUCUAGUUGAAGUGACUUCCAGAGGACUUAAAGGGCUGACACCCUUCCUCCCCUCCUUCCUUUCUUUCUCUUUUUCCCUUUUUGGAAGUCAGACAUUAAAGACUAAGACAUUCAAAAGCAACUUUAUGUAUGAGGGAAAAUUAGAAAGUGACUGUGCAUGCCCAGGGGAAGGCACAGGAUCAGAAAAGACCUGAGAAGACUUUAAGUUUAUAAUUCAGGCUGGUCUUUGGUGCAGAGACAGGCUGCAAUAAUAGAGAAAAAAAAACCCACACAAUAACCCAAAACAGCAAACCCUGGGGAAGGGGAAGAUUCUGAUUUCCAGAGUUACCACAUUAUUAGAUUCAAAUGUCUAGUUUUCAACAACAACAACAACAACAACAACAACAAAUAUCACAAAGCAUACAUAGAAACAGGAAAGUAUGGCCCACUCAAAGGAAAAAAAAAAAUCAAUAGAAAGUAUUCCUGAAAAAGACCUGGUGGCAGUUUACUAGGCAAAGACUAAAACUACUGUCUUCAAGAUGCUCAAAGAACUAAAGGAAGAUGUUGAGAAAAAUCAAGAAAAUGAUGUAGUAACAAAAUGGAAAGAUCAGUAAAGAGAGAAAACCUAAAAAGAAACCAGAAAGAAAUUCUGGAGCUGAAAACACAAUAACUGAAAUGAAAAUUCACCACAGGUAUUCAAAGGCAGAUUGUGAGCAGCCAGAAGAAAGAAUCAGCAAACCAGAAGAUAAAACAAUGGAAAUUAUUCAAUUUAAAGAACAGAAAGUAAAAAGAAUUAAAGAAAAGCAAAUGGAGAAAUAGAAAACCUGAACAGACCCAUAACUGGCAAGGAAAUUGAAGCAGUAAUCAAAAAUCUCCCAACAAAUAAGAGUCCAGGGCUGGAUGGCCUCCCAGGGGAAUUCUACCAAACAUUUAAAGAAUUAAUACCUAUUUUUCUGAAGCUGUGUCAAAAAAUAGAAAUGGAAGGAAAACUUACAAACUAGUUCUAUGAGGCCAGCAUUACCUUUUUUUUUUUUUUUUUUUUUUUUUUUUUUGAGGCCAGCAUUACCUUGAUCCCAAAACCAGACAAAGACCCCACCAAAGGGGCGCCUGGGUGGCUCAGUUGGUUAAGCGACUGCCUCCGGCUCAGGUCAUGAUCCUGGAGUCCCUGGAUCGAGUCCUGCAUCGGGCUCCCUGCUCGGCAGGGAGUCUGCUUCUCCCUCUCCCACUCCCCGUUUGUGUUCCCUCUCUCGCUGUGUCUUUCUCUGUCAAAUAAAUAAAAUCUCUAAAAAAAAAAAAUAAAAGACCCCACCAAAAAGGAGGAUUACAGACCAAUAUCCCUGAUGAACGGGGGAUGCAAAAAUUCUCACCAAGAUACUAGCCAAUAGGAUCCACAGUACAUUAAAAGGAUUAUUCACCACGAUCAAGUGGGAUUUAUUCCUGGGCUGCAAAGGUGGUUCAACAUCCGCAAAUCAAUCACUGUGAUACAUUACAUUAAUAAAAGGAAGGACAAGAACCAUAUGAUCCUCUCAAUAGAUGCAGAAAAAGCAUUUGACAAAGUAUAGCAAAGUUUCUUGAUUACAACUCUUCACAGUGUACGAAUAGAGGGAACAUACCUCAAUAUCAUAAAAGCCAUAUAUGAAAAGCCCACAGCAAAUAUCAUUCUCAAGGGGGAAAAACUGAGAGCUUUUCCCCUAAGGUAAGGAACAUGACAGGGGUGUCCACUCUCACCAUUGUUGUUCAACAUAGUAGUAGAGAGUAGUAGAAGCCUUAGCCUCAGCAAUCAGGCAACAAAAAGAAAUAAAAGGCAUCUGAAUCAGCAAAGAAGAAGUCAAACUCUCACUGUUCACAGAUGACAUGAUACUCUAUGUGGAAAACCCAAAAGACUCCAUCCCAAAAUUGCUGGCACUCAUACAGGAAUUCAGCAAAGUGACAGGAUAUAAAAUCAAUGCACAGAAAUCAGUUGCAUUUCUAUACACUAACAAUGAGACAUAAGAAAGAGAAAUUAAGGAGUCAAUCCCGUAUACAAUUGCAUCAAAACCCAUUAGAUACCUAGGAAUAAACCUAACCAAAGAGGCAAAGGAUCUGUACUCAGAAAACUAUAGAACACUCAUGAAAGAAAUUGAGGAAGACACAAAGAAAUGGAAAAAUGUUACAUGUUCUUGGAUUGGAAAAACAAAUAUUGUUAAAAUGUCUAUGCUACUGGGCGCCUGGGUGGCUCAGUUGGUUAAGCGACUGCCUUCGGCUCAGGUCAUGAUCCUGGAGUCCCUGGAUCGAGUCCCGCGUCAGGCUCCCUGCUCGGCAGGGAGCCUGCUUCUGCCUCUGACCCUCCCCCCUCUCAUGUGCUCUCUCUCUCUCAUUCUCUCUGUCUCAAAUAAAUAAAUAAAAUCUUUAAAAAAAUAAAAAAAUAAAAAUAAAUGUCUAUGCUACUUAGAGCAAUCUAUACAUUCAAAGCAAUCCCUAUCAAAAUACCAUCAACUUUUUUCACAGAGCUGGAACAAAUAAUUCUAAAAUUUGUGUGGAACCAGAAAAGAACCUGAAUAGCCAAAGGAAUGUUGAAAAAGAAAACCAAAGCUGGUGGCAUCACAAUUCCGGACUUCAAGCUCUAUUACAAAGCUGUAACCAUCAAGACAGUAUAUGGUACUGGCACAAAAACAGAUACAUAGAUCAGUGAAACAGAAUAGAAAACCCAGAAAUAGACCCUUAACUCCAUGGUCAACUAAUCUUCGACAAAGUAAGAAAAAAUAUCCAAUGAAAAAAAGACAGUUUCUUUAACAACUGGUGUUGGGAAAAUUGGACAGCCACAUGCAGAAGAAUGAAACUGGACCAUUUUCUUACAUCAUACACAAAUAUAGACUCAAAAUGGAUGAAAGACUUAAAUGUGAGACAGGAAUCCAUCAAAAUCCUAGAGAAGAACACAGGCAGCAACCUUUGUGACCUUGGCCAAAGCAACCUCUUGCUAGACACAUUUCCAAAGGCAAAGGAAACUAAAAAGAUUUUGCACAGCAAAGGAAAUAGUCGACAAAACCAGAAGGCAGCCGACAGAAUGGGAGAAGAUAUUUGCAAAUGUCUUAUCAGAUAAAGGGCUAGUUGGGGCACCUGGGUGGCUCAGUUGGUUAAGCCACUGCCUUCAGCUCAGGUCAUGAUCCUGGAGUCUCGGGAUCGAGUCCCCACAUCGGGGUCCCUGCUCGGAGGGGAGUCUUCUUCUCCCUCUGACCCUCCCCCUUCUCAUGCUCUUUCUCUCAUUCUCUCUCUCUAAUAAAUAAAUAAAAUCUAAAAAAAAAAAAAAA
Mirounga angustirostris (Northern elephant seal) is the source of this 5876-nucleotide long non-coding RNA. RefSeq lists it as uncharacterized. The transcript has 6 exons. The record is from RefSeq and is a predicted model, not a curated record. NCBI's taxonomy places the organism in Eukaryota, Metazoa, Chordata, Mammalia, Carnivora, Phocidae.